GUGCAGCAGGCGCGAAUCUUUAGCAAUGCCCGAAAGGGUGACUAUGCGACGCCGCGUGAGCGAUGAAGUCCUUCGGGACGUAAAGCUCUGUCAGGUGGGAUGAAUUUUUCGACCUUAACAGGGUUGGAAUUUGACCGUACCACCAGAGGAAGCCACGGCUAAACUCCGUGCCAGCAGCCGCGGUAAUACGGAGGUGGCAAGCGUUGUUCGGAUUUAUGGGUGUAAAGGGCAUGUAGGUGUCCUAGUAAGUCCUGGCUGAAAUCCUUCGGCUCAACCGAAGAACGUGUCAGGAAACUGCUGGGAUUGAGUACGGAAGAGGAGAACGGAA
Molecule: ribosomal RNA, 328 nt
Filed under: uncultured microorganism
Description: bacterial SSU rRNA
Rfam family: Bacterial small subunit ribosomal RNA
Source: RNAcentral